Molecule: ribosomal RNA, 252 nt
Filed under: uncultured bacterium
Lineage: Bacteria
Description: partial 16S ribosomal RNA
Rfam family: Bacterial small subunit ribosomal RNA
Source: RNAcentral
UACGUAGGGGGCGAGCUUUUUCCGGAAUUAUUGGGCGUAAAGCGAGCGUAGGCGGUUUAUUAAGUUGGGUGUAAAAGGCAAUGGCUCAACCAUUGUAAGCACCCAAAACUGGUAGACUUGAGUACAGAAGAGGAGAGUGGAAUUCCCGGUGUAGCGGUGGAAUGCGUAGAGAUCGGGAGGAACACCAGUGGCGAAGGCGGCUCUCUGGUCUGUAACUGACGCUGAGGUGCGAAAGCGUGGGGAGCAAACAGG